This 407-nucleotide ribosomal RNA is filed under the name uncultured eukaryote. Its description in RNAcentral is "eukaryotic LSU rRNA". It matches the Rfam family "Eukaryotic large subunit ribosomal RNA", at positions 15 to 409 of the family's 3401-position model. The record is from RNAcentral.
AGCAAGACUACUCCCUGAAUUUAAGCAUAUUAUUAAGGGAAGGAAAAGAAAAUAACUAUGAUACCCGCAGUAAUGGCGAAUGAAGUGGGUAAAGCUCAAGCUUAAAAUCUAGUCUCUUUUGAGAUUCGAAUUGUAGUGUAAAUUAACAUUAAUAUGGUCAUGAUAAUUGCCUAAGUGUGAACAUCUGAAUUUCCUAUCAAAGACGGUGAUAAUCCGGUAUGGUAGUUUGAUUGGCUAAAUAUUCUUGUUAUUUAAAGAGUCGAGUUGUUUGGGAUUGCAACUCUAAUAAAGGUGAUAGAUUUCAUCUAAAAGCUAAAAUAUAUUAGGAAAACCGAUAGCAAAGAAGUACUGUGAAGGAAAGGUGAAAAGAACUUUGAAAAGAGAGUUAAAAGUAGCUUGAAAUUGUU